Gossypium raimondii (Peruvian cotton) is the source of this 1519-nucleotide RNA transcript. RefSeq lists it as hypothetical. The transcript is spliced from 5 exons. NCBI's taxonomy places the organism in Eukaryota, Viridiplantae, Streptophyta, Magnoliopsida, Malvales, Malvaceae. The record is from RefSeq and is a predicted model, not a curated record.
AAACUUUCUUUUCUUUGAAAAAAAUUUGGAAGAAUCUGGGUUGAACUAGGCAAGCAGCUCUGGAGAAAGCGAGCAUAUGUUUACUAAAUUGUAGGCCAACUGGUUCUGAGACUUUGAAGAAUCUUGUAUAUGUAGAGUGCGAUUGGUUCUUAGAGGGCUGAGAUAAAAAGCAAAAGGUUCCUUCUUUUUCUUCUUUUCUUUUCUUAAAAUUUGUCUUGUUAUAAUGGGGAAAGUGAAGAAUGUUAAAUGUUAUAAUGGAGGUUCUGAAAUGUUGGAGGAUUUAAGGUUUGAUAAUCUGUUAGCGGAAGCAAGAAGCGAAAGUUUUAGAGUUAGAAAUAUAAAGGAAAUCAACAAACAAUUUAGUGAAAUUGACAUGGAAGAUAUUGAUUCAGAUUAUGGAAUGUUUUGGAGUUCUCUUAUUGAUUAUAUUUCUGUACUUGCUCAUAAAUCUGAUGUACAACCUUCUAAGAAGAUCAAACGUGAUGGUAAAAUAGAUGAAAGCUUGGAAAAGCUUCUAGGUUCUCUGGAUAAGUUCGAAAAGUAUCCGGAAUUUAUCUUUGGAACUUACCACACAAAUAGGCAUAGGAAGUAUGAUGAAAGUUGUGAGCAACCUUCCAAGGAGAUAACUUGUGAUAGUCUGGUAGAUGAAAGCUUGAAAGAGUUUCUAGGUUCUUUGGAUAAGAUCCCGGAAUUCAUCCAUGGAACUUACAAUACAAAUUUGAAUCGGAAGUAUUACAGAAGUUGUUCUGAUUUGAAUAUCCUCACAUUGGAUGAUACUUGUGAAGGGAGUUAUGCACCAUUUGUACCAUCAACAUCAUUGGCUAAAGAAGAGUGUAAGGAUGCCAUUAGGACUCCUAGCCAGCCUCAGUUUAGGGAGAAGGUUAUGGCUCUCCUUAGAACUCCUUAUGACCAAAAGGCGUUUGAUAAUCUUUGGCGGGAAGUAACUUACCGUAAACCAAUGCAAGGUGCUGGAAAUAUAUGCCACAGACUAAUCAAGAACCAUUCAACCAAAACUAAAGAAAAAUCACUCCUUGAUUUGCACCAAGGCAAGACUGGUUUCUCCAACUUCUGUUGGUGUUUACUUGUUUGUUCUUUUUUCAAAUAUGCAUGUUAUGUCUAAAGUAUGCACAUAGUAAUUGAGAUCAUUGCCCCUUGCAACUGUUUAUUCCACUUGAAAUAUAAUUCAGUGUUUACUAUUACACGAUUGCUAUCUAAUAUUCUUCAAAGUGCAGCUCUCAUCAAAGAUAAAUUUCAUUUGGAAGUACUUUGAGUGGUUGUGCCUAUCUUUUCUUUGGCCCAUCAGAUUUUGCAUGAUUGUUUUGGUUCCAUGGUUUUGGUUGAGCAGAACUUGUCGAACUUGUUAACAGUUGCGAAGUAAAGAUGAAAAUUGAUGAAUAUAGGUCAGACCGCCGCAAACUUUUAUGUCUCUUACGUGGAUUUUUCUUUUGGUUGGAGAAACUGCCUAGUUAUGAAGAUGCAUUUCCACCAUGGUUGGACACCUUGUAUUUGAAUGCCUUGG